This 492-nucleotide ribosomal RNA is filed under the name uncultured bacterium. Its description in RNAcentral is "partial 16S ribosomal RNA". It matches the Rfam family "Bacterial small subunit ribosomal RNA", at positions 29 to 507 of the family's 1533-position model. The record is from RNAcentral.
AGUGAACGCUGGCGGUAGGCCUAACACAUGCAAGUCGAACGGCAGCACAGUAAGAGCUUGCUCUUACGGGUGGCGAGUGGCGGACGGGUGAGGAAUACAUCGGAAUCUACUUUUUCGUGGGGGAUAACGUAGGGAAACUUACGCUAAUACCGCAUACGACCUACGGGUGAAAGCAGGGGAUCUUCGGACCUUGCGCGAUUGAAUGAGCCGAUGUCGGAUUAGCUAGUUGGCGGGGUAAAGGCCCACCAAGGCGACGAUCCGUAGCUGGUCUGAGAGGAUGAUCAGCCACCCUGGAACUGAGAAACGGUACAGACUCCUACGGGAGGCAGCAGUGGGGAAUAUUGGACAAUGGGCGCAAGCCUGAUCCAGCCAUACCGCGUGGGUUAAGAAGGCCUUCGGGUUGUAAAGCCCUUUUGUUGGGAAAGAAAAGCAGCAGGUUAAUACCCCGCUGUUCUGACGGUACCCAAAGAAUAAGCACCGGCUAACUUCGUG